AGAGUUAAACAGUACAUGAAAUUGUUGAAAGGGAAACGAUUGAAGCCAGUCGUGCUGGCAGGAAAUCAGCUUUCAGGAUUACUGGAGAUGCACUUUUUCGCAAGGCAGGUUAGCAUCAAUUUCGCAUGUUGUAAAAAGUCCAUCGGAAUGUGACUCCUUUCGGAGUGUUAUAGCUAGUGGUCAAUACGACGGGUGGGAUUGAGGAUUGCAGCGGGUGCCUUUUAGGCUAAGUGCCUGGCCCUUGUUCGUGAUUGUCUUGGCAACAGCGUGCUGGUGUUGGGAACGAUUCGUGAACACGGGGUGUAGCGUCACGGUAAACUCGCUAAGGAUACUGACGUAAUGGCUUUAAACGAUC
This 355-nucleotide ribosomal RNA is filed under the name Ambispora leptoticha. RNAcentral describes it as "partial large subunit ribosomal RNA". Lineage: Eukaryota; Fungi; Glomeromycota; Glomeromycetes; Archaeosporales; Ambisporaceae. The record is from RNAcentral.